RNAcentral lists this ribosomal RNA (468 nucleotides) under uncultured bacterium. RNAcentral's name for it is "partial 16S ribosomal RNA". It matches the Rfam family "Bacterial small subunit ribosomal RNA", at positions 28 to 507 of the family's 1533-position model. The record is from RNAcentral.
GACGAACGCUGGCGGCGUGCUUAACACAUGCAAGUCGAACGGAAAGGCCCUGCUUUUGUGGGGUGCUCGAGUGGCGAACGGGUGAGUAACACGUGAGUAACCUGCCCUUGACUUUGGGAUAACUUCAGGAAACUGGGGCUAAUACCGGAUAGGAGCUCCUGCUUCAUGGUGGGGGUUGGAAAGUUUCGGCGGUUGGGGAUGGACUCGCGGCUUAUCAGCUUGUUGGUGGGGUAGUGGCUUACCAAGGCUUUGACGGGUAGCCGGCCUGAGAGGGUGACCGGCCACAUUGGGACUGAGAUACGGCCCAGCCUCCUACGGGAGGCAGCAGUGGGGAAUAUUGCACAAUGGGCGGAAGCCUGAUGCAGCAACGCCGCGUGCGGGAUGACGGCCUUCGGGUUGUAAACCGCUUUCGCCUGUGACGAAGCGUGAGUGACGGUAAUGGGUAAAGAAGCACCGGCUAACUACGUG